CUCCCCCCUUGGACUCCGCUCUGGGCCUUGCUCGGUCCCCCUGGUUUCUUUUAAUUCACAAAAAGUAACAACAAACAGUCCCCAGCCGCCUCCCUUCUCGGGCUCGUCCCUCCCGGUGCGGUUUGGCAGAGAAAGCCCUCGCAGUCCCCUGGAAGACUAUCCAACGCCGGCCGGCCGGGAGGCGCCCCGCCGCAGAAACCCGACGCUGAUGCCGGGCUCAGCCAGCCUCAGUUUCCUCAUCUGUAAAACAUCCUGUUGGGAAACAAGGUUUGUUGUAAAGAUCAAGCCAAAUCAUGUCUAUGGAAGAACCUUGAAGAGUAUGAAAGCAGC
RNAcentral lists this long non-coding RNA (330 nucleotides) under Heterocephalus glaber (naked mole-rat). RNAcentral's name for it is "lncRNA (ENSHGLG00000034112.1)". Lineage: Eukaryota; Metazoa; Chordata; Mammalia; Rodentia; Bathyergidae. The record is from RNAcentral.